Molecule: ribosomal RNA, 795 nt
Filed under: uncultured bacterium
Lineage: Bacteria
Description: bacterial SSU rRNA
Rfam family: Bacterial small subunit ribosomal RNA
Source: RNAcentral
AGAGUUUGAUCAUGGCUCAGAUUGAACGCUGGCGGCAGGCCUAACACAUGCAAGUCGAGCGGCAGCACGGGUACUUGUACCUGGUGGCGAGCGGCGGACGGGUGAGUAAUACCUAGGAAUCUGCCUGGUAGUGGGGGAUAACGUUCGGAAACGGACGCUAAUACCGCAUACGUCCUACGGGAGAAAGCAGGGGACCUUCGGGCCUUGCGCUAUCAGAUGAGCCUAGGUCGGAUUAGCUAGUUGGUGAGGUAAUGGCUCACCAAGGCUACGAUCCGUAACUGGUCUGAGAGGAUGAUCAGUCACACUGGAACUGAGACACGGUCCAGACUCCUACGGGAGGCAGCAGUGGGGAAUAUUGGACAAUGGGCGAAAGCCUGAUCCAGCCAUGCCGCGUGUGUGAAGAAGGUCUUCGGAUUGUAAAGCACUUUAAGUUGGGAGGAAGGGCCGUUACCUAAUACGUGAUGGUUUUGACGUUACCGACAGAAUAAGCACCGGCUAACUCUGUGCCAGCAGCCGCGGUAAUACAGAGGGUGCAAGCGUUAAUCGGAAUUACUGGGCGUAAAGCGCGCGUAGGUGGUUCGUUAAGUUGGAUGUGAAAUCCCCGGGCUCAACCUGGGAACUGCAUUCAAAACUGUCGAGCUAGAGUAUGGUAGAGGGUGGUGGAAUUUCCUGUGUAGCGGUGAAAUGCGUAGAUAUAGGAAGGAACACCAGUGGCAAAGGCGACCACCUGGACUGAUACUGACACUGAGGUGCGAAAGCGUGGGGAGCAAACAGGAUUAGAUACCCUAGUAGUCC